UUACUUGAGGCUACCCAAACUUUGGGUUGAAGUUUGGAGAACUUGGUGGCACUUUGUGGAUUGAGCCUAGGACUUAUUAGUGUUGGUGUGCAAGCAGUCAGAUGAUGUCCAUUUGACUGCAGGUACACCUGACUUAGAGGAGGACCCCGUAGCUGCGUAUUUGGGAUAUUACGAUUGAAGCACACCGCGACAGUCGUAUUGAGUUGGACUAUGGAGUUCACUCUUUUGGGGUAUUUUGUAUAUGGCUGGUGACGUAGGUGUCACAUAUUUUUGUGUAGCCAUUCUUUUGUAUUAGUGGAAUUGUAGCCUUAAACAGUUAGACAGGUAUAUGGCUCUUUUGUAUGGACCACAUGUAUAUUUAGAUGUGCUUUCCGUUAUGAGAUGUAACGCUAUGAUUAUUCCGCUGUUAGAUAUUACUCUGAAUAUCAGGUACAUGAUAUGGAGCAUGUAUGUAUGUUGGCUGAGCGACACGUAGUCGUGCCACUGU
Long non-coding RNA from Alnus glutinosa, 487 nucleotides. RefSeq lists it as uncharacterized. The transcript has 3 exons. NCBI's taxonomy places the organism in Eukaryota, Viridiplantae, Streptophyta, Magnoliopsida, Fagales, Betulaceae. The record is from RefSeq and is a predicted model, not a curated record.